CCCUUAGAUGUCCUGGGCCGCACGCGCGUUACACUGAUGCAUUCAACGAGCUUAUAACCUUGGCCGAGAGGCCUGGGCAAUCUUGUUAACGUGCAUCGUGAUAGGGAUAGAUUAUUGAAAUUAUUAAUCUUGAACGAGGAAUCCCUAGUAAACGCAGAUCAUCAAUCUGCAUUGAUUACGUCCCUGCCCUUUGUACACACCGCCCGUCGCACCUACCGAUUGGAUGGUCCGGUGAAGCCUCGGGAUUGUGGUUCUUGCCGCUUUAUUGUGGCGUGACCGCGAGAACUUGUCUAAACCUUAUCAUCUAGAGGAAGGUGAAGUCGUAACA
RNAcentral lists this ribosomal RNA (328 nucleotides) under uncultured eukaryote. RNAcentral describes it as "partial 18S ribosomal RNA". It matches the Rfam family "Eukaryotic small subunit ribosomal RNA", at positions 1470 to 1796 of the family's 1831-position model. The record is from RNAcentral.